CAAACUCCGUGAUAGCUGGUUCUCCCCGAAAUGCAUUUAGGUGCAGCGUUGCGUGUUUCUUGCCGGAGGUAGAGCACUGGAUGGUCUAGGGGGCCCACAAGCUUACCGAAAUCAGCCAAACUCCGAAUGCCGGUAAGUGAGAGCGUGGCAGUGAGACUGUGGGGGAUAAGCUUCAUAGUCGAGAGGGAAACAGCCCAGAUCAUCAGCUAAGGCCCCUAAGAGGUGACUAAGUGGAAAAGGAUGUGGAGUUGCGUUGACAACCAGGAGGUUGGCUUGGAAGCAGCCAUCCUUGAAAGAGUGCGUAAUAGCUCACUGGUCAAGUGAUUCUGCGCCGACAAUUCAGCGGGGCUCAAGUUGCCCGCCGAAGCUGUGGCAUUCACGCGUGUGGCCGGAAGGUUGCGUGGAUGGGUAGGGGAGCGUCGUGUGCGUGUUGAAGCGGUGGGGUGACCUGGUCGUGGAGUGCAUACGAGUGAGAAUGCAGGCAUGAGUAGCGAAUGACGGGUGAGAAACCCGUCCGCCGAAUAUCCAAGGGUUCCAGGGUCAAGUUAAUCUGCCCUGGGUUAGUCGGGACCUAAGGCGAGGCCGACAGGCGUAGUCGAUGGACAACGGGUUGAUAUUCCCGUACCGGCGAAACAACGCCCGUGCUGGGGCACGCGAUGCUAAGCAUGCGAGACUGUCUGUUGCCUUUCGGGGUGGCGGGUGGUUGAGUCUGUGACCCGAGUGUGUAGUAGGCAAGCCGCGGAGGGACGCAGGAAGGUAGCUCAUCCUCAGCGUUGGUUGUCUGAGGCUAAGUGUGUAGGGUGGGGUGUAGGUAAAUCCGCAUUCCGUGAUGCCUGAGACAUGAUGGGCCUGCACCAUUUGGGUGUGGGUUGAGUGAUCCUAUGCUGCCUAGAAAAGCUUCGUUGGCGAGUUGUUAGCCGCCCGUACCCUAAACCGACACAGGUGGAUAGGUAGAGAAUACCGAGGCGAUCGGGAUAAUCGUGGUGAAGGAACUCGGCAAAAUACCCCCGUAACUUAGGGAUAAGGGGGACCUGAUACGUGUUAAACUUUUGCGUUGAGAGCGUUGAGGGUCGCAGAGACCAGGCCCAAGCGACUGUUUACUAAAAACACAGGUCCGUGCCAACUCGUAAGAGGAUGUAUACGGACUGACUCCUGCCCGGUGCUGGAAGGUUAAGGGGAACCGUCAGCCGCAUUUUGUGUGGUGAAGCGGUGAACUUAAGCCCCAGUAAACGGCGGUGGUAACUAUAACCAUCCUAAGGUAGCGAAAUUCCUUGUCGGGUAAGUUCCGACCUGCACGAAUGGAGUAACGAUUUGGGCGCUGUCUCCACCACGAACCCGGUGAAAUUGCAUUACGAGUAAAGAUGCUCGUUACGCGCAGCAGGACGGAAAGACCCCGGGACCUUUACUAUAGUUUGGUAUUGGUGAUCGGUGUGACUUGUGUAGGAUAGGUGGGAGACUGUGAAACCGGGACGCUAGUUCCGGUGGAGUCAUCGUUGAAAUACCACUCUGGUCACUCUGGUUAUCUAACCUAGGACCGUUAUCCGGUUCAGGGACAGUGCCUGAUGGGUAGUUUGACUGGGGCGGUCGCCUCCUAAAAGGUAACGGAGGCGCCCAAAGGUUCCCUCAGCCUGGUUGGCAAUCAGGUUACGAGUGUAAGUGCACAAGGGAGCUUGACUGCGAGACUGACGGGUCGAGCAGGGACGAAAGUCGGGACUAGUGAUCUUCUGGUAGCGAAUGGAAGCGCCAGGACUCAACGGAUAAAAGGUACCCCGGGGAUAACAGGCUGAUCUUGCCCGAGCGUCCAUAGCGACGGCAUGGUUUGGCACCUCGAUGUCGGCUCGUCGCAUCCUGGGGCUGGAGUCGGUCCCAAGGGUUGGGCUGUUCGCCCAUUAAAGCGGCACGCGAGCUGGGUUUAGAACGUCGUGAGACAGUUCGGUCCCUAUCCGCUGCGCGCGUAGGAGUCUUGAGAAGGGCUGUCCUUAGUACGAGAGGACCGGGACGGACCAACCUCUGGUGUGCCAGUUGUUCCGCCAGGAGCACGGCUGGUUGGCUACGUUGGGAAGUGAUAACCGCUGAAAGCAUCUAAGCGGGAAGCACGCUUCAAGAUGAGGACUCCCACACCAACAAGGUGGUAAGGCCCCCCGCAGACCACGGGGUUGAUAGGUCGGACGUGGAAGCACAGUAAUGCGUGAAGCUGACCGAUACUAAUAGGCCGAGGGCUUGCCACA
This 2228-nucleotide ribosomal RNA is filed under the name human oral metagenome. RNAcentral's name for it is "bacterial LSU rRNA". It matches the Rfam family "Bacterial large subunit ribosomal RNA", at positions 834 to 2925 of the family's 2925-position model. The record is from RNAcentral.